Molecule: long non-coding RNA, 1021 nt
Filed under: Marmota monax (woodchuck)
Lineage: Eukaryota; Metazoa; Chordata; Mammalia; Rodentia; Sciuridae
Source: RNAcentral
AGGUCACCUGUACCCAAAGGAAGUCCAACAGUUGUCCCCAAAGUUAGAGAUACCAAAAGCAAAACCUUGAAAGUUUGUUUUGUCUUGCAAAAUUAGAGCCCUCCUACCUAACUCCUACUUUUCAUGAAUGGUGGCAAGAUGAAGAAUUCCUGAAGUCAUUUUGUGUAACCCAUUAAAGUGAUAUGGAUACUACAGCACUAACAUAUGUGUCCAAAUCUUAAGUGGAGACCGGAAUAAGAAUUCUAUGUAGGGUCUGAGAAUUCUGGAUCCUUUCUUUUGCUACUAUGGCUGUUUUUCUUUAUUGGCAAAAUAUUGGGUGGUGGUUCUAUUUUGGUUACUUAUUUGGUAAUCUUGCUUGAGUGAUUCCUUGGAGACUGAAAUUAGAAGCAGAAGAGUCACAGGGAUCCUGGCAGGUUUGUCGGAGAACCUUGCAUAAAGAAAUUAUCUUUACCACGUUGGUGGCAUACCCCAACUUGGGGUGAGAGGUUGAAAGAAAGACCACUGGAGUCAUUUCCAGCACCGUACAACAAAGAGAAUCAUUCUGGUUAAUUUUAAAAAUUACAGGCUAUAAAUACUGUCAGCUUGUCCAUUUCUAUUUUAAUCUUCACAAAACUUGAGUAGAAUUUAAGAGAGCAGGUUGACCCACAUGGAGUAAAAUGGCUUUUUAAGAAAUACAAUAUCCAGUCGGACCUAUGUAAGUGUUAUUAGAGGGAUUUUUUUCUUUCUUCCCAAUUUCAUAGCAAGCUUGCUAAAAAGGAUGACUGGUUAUCUACUCAUUUUGUAGAUAAGCUAUUUCUUUUUGUGAUUAUUUUUUUGGGGGGGGUUGUUUUUGCAAAGGAACUUACUUAGGAAAAAAAAUCUCUGUCACUGAAGACAUCCAGCCUCAGCCGGUGGCAAAAGUGUGUCUAUGCUCCUUCUCAUCUUGUAAAGGGAAAAGGCGGCAGGAAUGUGCAGGGGCUCAUUUGUUUCCACAAACCUAAGAGAAAAUAUUUCCUGACCUAUAAAUAUAAUAGGAAGCUUC